AGCAGCCGCGGUAAUUCCAGCUCCAAUAGCGUAUAUUAAAGUUGUUGCAGUUAAAAAGCUCGUAGUUGAACUUCGGGGUCUACCCAUUGGUCAGGCUUAAUUGUCUGCACUGGUGGGAUGGAUCUCUACCUUCUGAGGAACUUUCAUGCCAUUUAUUUGGUGUGGUUGGAAAUCAGGACUGUUACUUUGAAAAAAUUAGAGUGUUUAAAGCAGACUAUCGUCUGAAUACAUUAGCAUGGAAUAAUGAAAUAGGACGGACUGAUUCUAUUUCGUUGGUUUCUAGGAUCACCGUAAUGAUUAAUAGGGAUAGUUGGGGGCAUUAGUAUUCAAUUGUCAGAGGUGAAAUUCUUGGAUUUAUUGAAGACUAACUACUGCGAAAGCAUUUGCCAAGGAUGUUUUCAUUAAUCAAGAACGAAAGUUAGGGGAUCGAAGACGAUCAGAUACCGUCGUAGUCUUAACCAUAAACUAUGCCGACUAGGGAUCGGACGAAGUUAAUUUUAUAAUUGACGCGUUCGGCUAA
RNAcentral lists this ribosomal RNA (520 nucleotides) under uncultured Diversispora. RNAcentral's name for it is "SSU rRNA". It matches the Rfam family "Eukaryotic small subunit ribosomal RNA", at positions 569 to 1086 of the family's 1831-position model. Lineage: Eukaryota; Fungi; Glomeromycota; Glomeromycetes; Diversisporales; Diversisporaceae. The record is from RNAcentral.